Molecule: long non-coding RNA, 3450 nt
Organism: Arvicola amphibius (Eurasian water vole)
Lineage: Eukaryota; Metazoa; Chordata; Mammalia; Rodentia; Cricetidae
Exons: 2
Source: RefSeq, a predicted model, not a curated record
GAAGCUCCAGCCCAAGAUGGACAUACGCUAGAAUCUUCCCGUUAUUCUGCAUGGAUGUACAAGAUUCGUGAGGCAUGUAGGAUAUGCCACAGCUUGGGACAGAAGUUCCCAACUAAGUGAGUCUUGCUUGAGUGACAGAGACGACCAGAGAAGAGGAAAUGCCGCUGGGAACUGCUCAUCUAUCAGGUUAAACCUCUGACUGACUUCUCCAGGAGACUCACUAAUUGUCAACAUCCUCAACUUCUAGGUCACAAGAGGCACAAAUGACAGUAACAAAACCCCAGCCGUCCUAAACACCGUGAAGGACAGCGGGAAGCAGUUUCCAGCCUCAAAGAAUGAUCUGGGAAAACCUCUUCCCUUUCCUCCAAAUCUUUGCCUUACCUGGGCCUUAGUCAUGUCUAUUCCAGUGACAUGUCCCUUCUCGCCAACUAGCUGGCUAAGCAUAUAGCAGUCUCUGCCACUUCCACAACCCAGAUCCAAAAGCUGGCAGUUUUCCAGGCGCUCAGGGACAACCAGACCACAGCCAUAAUACCUGAGAAGGGGGAAAGACAUGUUUUAAAAACAGACUGGAAAAUUCUCAGGCAGUAAGUCUAUGCUUCCCCCUGCCCCCCGUCCCUCCAUCACCCGCUUACAUUACUAUUUUGUCUCUCCCACUAAACCAGGGCCAUGUCUGCCAUAGCAGUGUUGCUGGGCACUGCGCAAGGUAGCAGGCCUCAAGAAAACCGUCUAAAAUAUGUGUUGAAUAAAUACAUCUAAGGCACUGUCUGCUGAACAAGGAAGGCAUCCUGUCCCCAGGUGCAGGUACUGUAACUUGAGAGGUAAAAACUACAGGUAUGGAACCUUUCCCAUGAUUGACAGACAGUGAGUAUCACUGGGAGUAGGUGUGGCAGUGGUUGGGAGGAAGAAGGUUCCAUGAUGCUAGGAAGACUUCAGUGAGGUGUUGGAGAGGCAGGGGGUAAGGUACCCUCUUUUAUAACUGAUCUCCGGGUGGGCAAUACUAUGUAUGUUAGGCAAAGAUCAACUGUUUAGAAAGUGUGAGCUACUCUAUUAAACACUUGAAUGUCUGCCACGGUCCAAGGAGCUUGAAUGUCUCCUGCAAUGGGAAGGGAUGGAGAGCAUCUUUGAGGGGUCUUCAGCAGAGAAGCAAGCAGCUCAGUGCCGAGCUUUGGGGUUUCACAGUAGAUAUGGGAAGAAGGGUAGCCAACAGAUAGGGCUAAAUUCGCUAGUGACAAGUAUGGGAAAACUGCAGUCUGGAGGCUUCGUGGCAACAGUCUAUACACUCUACCUCGAAGUCACGUCUUCGUGUACAUUCUUCAGAGUUUCCCGGAUGUACUUGGGGACCAGCGUGGCUGGUGUGACACAAGCAUUAGUCUGGAGGUCUGCAAAAGUCUUCAGUACAUUCCCGUAGUAGUUCUGACGCAACAGCCAAGGACCGGAAGCCAGGAGGAAAAGAACAGAGCUCAGAGCUCGAGGCCUCCGCCACAUUCUUAAUUACAGCCCACUGGCCUUUGCUCAGGGCCAACUCCAACCCGCGCCCUGGUCUGCCCAAACCCAGCGUGCUCUGCAAACAGAAGCUGCUUGCUGGCAGUACUCCCGGAAACCAGCAAUCCCACACAGCCAAUCCCUAGGACCCUCACCUGAACGUCCUUGUGAAUCUCAGCGUCUCGGGGAGCGGACACUGAAAAGGGAGAACAGAGGCUAAACGGGGUGACCACACUGAAAGGGACCGGGCUGAGGGCAAGAUGGAGGGAUAGCAACACACAGGGCGGAGAGGAAGGGGGCUGAGGCCUUCAGCAAGGCACAGGCAAGCCGACUGGGCUGCCCAGAAGUGGGAGCAGGGCGGGAGGCGCUGUGGGCCUGUGGCAAGUCAGAGGUCAGAGGGGGACUGACCAGAAGCUACUCACUGACUCUCGAUCUCCACACUCCUGGACCUGGAAUAAUCCUUCGACCCGGCUAAGGAGCAGCAGCGCGCCGAGGCCACGCCCCCUGACUGACCUUCAACCCUGCAGCCCAGCAAAACCCUUCCCAAGGCUGGGUCUCCUUGUCACCUUGGAGUCCUUGCAACCCGUCUAAUGGUUUUGUUUGUUAACACCUUCCUUUACUGAUCCGCUGAAUUUCAUUCUGUGUGUCUUAAAUGAACGCCCAUAUGUAUUUUCCUCCCUGUGACAUGAACUCUUUCCUCUCUCCCGCUCAUAAAGUCGUUCACGGAGUGUCAUUUACAUCUCUAACACUCACCGUUUCUUAGCGCACAGCACUGCUGUGAAUUCUGCAGUCAUCAGGCAUGGUGCUGUGCCUUUAAUUCCAGCAUCCAGGAGACAGAGAUGGGAGGCAGACAGAGGCUGCCCGAUCUCUGAGGCCAGCCUGAUCUACAAACCUAGUUCUAAAAACAGCUAGGGCUACACAGGGAAACCCUGUCCCAACCCACCCCAACCCGCAACACACACAGAGAUUAAAGUAGUUCUCUAGUUCAGAAGGCUUGUGUGUGCCCCUUGGUGAGAAAUUCCUUCCUCAUCCAGCUCCUAGGCAAAAAGACUGGACUCUCUCCCUGCAGCUUUGCCUUUUCUGGGAUGUCUCAGAGAUGAACUCUUCACUGGGUAGCCACUGUCCAGUUGCAUCUAGAAAGGCAUCCAGUUGCAUCUAGAAAGGCGCCCACCACAGUAACUCGCCAGUUUGUAUGUAUUUUCCAUUACUGCCACUUCGCCUCGAAUGCUUUUGUUUAUAUUGCAUCCUAUGUAUCUACGGGGUGAGGUGCCCUGGUGAUGUUUGGUGAAGGGGACUUUUAGGAAAUUGGUUCUCCACUUCCACACUGUGGGCACCCGGAAGAGAACUAUGCCGGAGGGCCUGCCAGCAAGAGUUUUUCCCUGCUGAGCCACCACCAGCCAGGAUGCAUCUUUAAGAAGCGUCUGUUCCCACCGUUACAGCUGUGUGUCCUUUAAACUGGUGUGUGCAUGUGUGUGUGAGCACCACAGCCCAUGGAUGGAGACAGGCAGCUUUCACACGUUACUCCUCUCCUUCCACAGUGGGUUCCGAGCUCCAGCACCAGGCUUGUAUGGCAAGUGCUUUUAGCUUUUCCAGCUAUGCCAUCUCAACCACCCUGUAUUUGUUUGUAUGUCUUACCUGCUUUGUGAUUGAAUCAAACAUUGCCGUUCAUCAAGAUAAGGGGGUGGAAAGCCAGGCAGUGGUGGCACAUGCCUUUAAUCCCAGCACUCGGGAGGCAGAGGCAGGCGGAUCUCUGAGUUCGAGGUCAGCCUGGUCUACAAGAGCUAGUUCCAGGACAGGCACCAAAACUACAGAGAAACCCUGGCUUGAAAAAAUUACCAAAAAAAAAAAAAAAAGAUAAGGGGGUGUAGCAGUCUAAAGGAAAAGUUGUCUAGGUAGGAAAGUGGACUCUUGUGAAAUUAUCUUCCCGUUUUCAAACCCAUGCCAUUACAAAUAAAAUGAUGAAAUCCA